GACGAACGCUGGCGGCGUGCUUAACACAUGCAAGUCGAACGGAAAGGCCCUGCUUUUGUGGGGUGCUCGAGUGGCGAACGGGUGAGUAACACGUGAGUAACCUGCCCUUGACUUUGGGAUAACUUCAGGAAACUGGGGCUAAUACCGGAUAGGAGCUCCUGCUGCAUGGUGGGGGUUGGAAAGUUUCGGCGGUUGGGGAUGGACUCGCGGCUUAUCAGCUUGUUGGUGUGGUAGUUGCUUACCAAGGCUUUGACGGGUAGCCGGCCUGAGAGGGUGACCGGCCACAUUGGGACUGAGAUACGGCCCAGACUCCUACGGGAGGCAGCAGUGGGGAAUAUUGCACAAUGGGCGGAAGCCUGAUGCAGCAACGCCGCGUGCGGGAUGACGGCCUUCGGGUUGUAAACCGCUUUCGCCUGUGGCGAAGCGUGAGUGACGGUAAUGGGUAAAGAAGCACCGGCUAACUACGUG
RNAcentral lists this ribosomal RNA (468 nucleotides) under uncultured bacterium. Its description in RNAcentral is "partial 16S ribosomal RNA". It matches the Rfam family "Bacterial small subunit ribosomal RNA", at positions 28 to 507 of the family's 1533-position model. The record is from RNAcentral.